AGAGUUUGAUCCUGGCUCAGAUUGAACGCUGGCGGCAGGCCUAACACAUGCAAGUCGAGCGGCAGCGGGAAAGUAGCUUGCUACUUUUGCCGGCGAGCGGCGGACGGGUGAGUAAUGCCUGGGGAUCUGCCCAGUCGAGGGGGAUAACUACUGGAAACGGUAGCUAAUACCGCAUACGCCCUACGGGGGAAAGCAGGGGACCUUCGGGCCUUGCGCGAUUGGAUGAACCYAGGUGGGAUUAGCUAGUUGGUGAGGUAAUGGCUCACCAAGGCGACGAUCCCUAGCUGGUCUGAGAGGAUGAUCAGCCACACUGGAACUGAGACACGGUCCAGACUCCUACGGGAGGCAGCAGUGGGGAAUAUUGCACAAUGGGGGAAACCCUGAUGCAGCCAUGCCGCGUGUGUGAAGAAGGCCUUCGGGUUGUAAAGCACUUUCAGCGAGGAGGAAAGGUUGGUAGCUAAUAACUGCCAGCUGUGACGUACUCGCAGAAGA
RNAcentral lists this ribosomal RNA (492 nucleotides) under Aeromonas sp. AKB-2008-4218B. RNAcentral's name for it is "bacterial SSU rRNA". It matches the Rfam family "Bacterial small subunit ribosomal RNA", at positions 8 to 488 of the family's 1533-position model. The record is from RNAcentral. Lineage: Bacteria; Pseudomonadati; Pseudomonadota; Gammaproteobacteria; Aeromonadales; Aeromonadaceae.